This 1688-nucleotide long non-coding RNA is filed under the name Cinara cedri. The record is from RNAcentral. Lineage: Eukaryota; Metazoa; Arthropoda; Insecta; Hemiptera; Aphididae.
AACAUAGGCCUAAAUAUAGUUAAACGUUUGAGGGGGCCAAUACAAAAACGAUUUAUGAAUAUGGUACACCAUUUUGGACAGUGGGACGUGAACAUUUUACAUAUUUUUGAGGGACUAUUCGUGGAUGGAUUUGAAAAGGGAAUAGGUACAUCUUAAUUUUACCUUAUAUCUGAUAUUAAAAAAAUUCAAGAAUGGGAUUUAUUUUUAGCUGUUGAGUAAGGUGGGGUGGGCAUAGUGAGGUAAUCUGCCAAAAUAUUUAGCUCUUAGAAAUUUUGAUUUGGUCAAGUCACUGAAUUCGAAAACGUUUUGGCAAUCUAUGUAAUGAAUAUGCUAGAAGUACAUCCUCGAUUCGUCGCUUUAAUGAUAUUAAAAAUAUAUAUAUAUAUGUAAUAUUUAAAUGUAUUAUAAUGAAUAGCUAUUACAUUCGUGUCAUUAUAUUGUCUAAAAUAUUCAAUGUAUAUGUCUUCUAAUGGUCUUUGAAUUAGUAUCCUCUUAUAUUUGUUUUGAAAUUACAUUGCAAAGAAAUUAUCAUAUUCUUUAUUUGUUAUCAUAAUAAUAAUAGCAUUUAAAUGAUUUCGGUAUCAAAUAUUGAACCAAUAAUAAUAUUUGUACGCAUUUAAAAUUUAGUGGGUUUAGUUAGUUAUAUAGAAGAUACGGGAAAUGAGUAAUAAUCGUAUAACUGAAAAAAAGUUUCUUCGUAUAAAUUAAUUAUUUUGCAUUUUAAACGUGAAAUAUUUACGAAAAUUCGGAUAUUAUUCCUAUUGAGAUGAGAGGCAUAUUUUAUUAUAAUCGAUUACUGAUAAAUGGCUGCUAACCUUAAAUAAAGUCACCAAAAAUGUUGCUAAAAUAUAAUUGUUUAGCACCGAAUAUUAUGAUAACAUCCAAUAUGUGUGCUUCUACAAAUCAAAUCUGGUUACGUCUGUUUACUUGCAAACAAUAAGUUCAAUAGGUCCGAUAUUAUUAUCGUUUAAUUGUUUUGUGCUGUUAUAAAUCUAUAUUUCAAUAUGAACAAAUUUAUCAUGUUCGUACUUUGUUAUUACGAAGGUGUGUUAUAAUACGGGUGUGCAUCUUGUGUUAUAUACAAUGUAUAGAUACCCAUAAUACCUAUAUAGCAUCUGCCCAAAUGUUGCAAAGAGGCACAAAAUAAUAUUCUUAAUAUUCAUAGGUCUGGUCAUGUCGAGGAUACUUUUUUAUUUUUUAUGAAAUAGAUUAAAUUUUUUUUCUUGUCACGUGAUGAAAGGGAUAUAUAUUACGUACAUUUUUUACACGUUCUAUUACGAUGACCUAAUAAUACAUUUUUGUAGUAGUUUUUAUGAAUUGGAUAUUAUUAGUAAACACCUAAUCAGAUCACCAUUGUCCGAAUUUAUUAAUGUACUAUUUUAAUGAAUGGUUUUUAGACCGUUACAAAUAUCUUUUAAUUUUGUCUUUCUUAUUAUUAAAUAACCAGACGGCAGGGGGGCCUCUACAAAAAGCAAUCAAAUUUUGACGCUAAAUUCUAUUAUUAUGUAUCUUUAGUUAUUGACACACAACAAAUUAAUCUUUAACUUUUAUUAUAUUGUGUAGUAAUAAUAAUAUGGAUAAGUUAUUGAUCCGCAGUUAACAAUAUUUGACGAUUAUAUUCAUUGUUGUCAACUAUAAAGGGUGUCCUACGAAGAUAAUCAAAUUCUGUUUUUGUUUUUUUUUUUUUU